RNAcentral lists this ribosomal RNA (434 nucleotides) under uncultured bacterium. Its description in RNAcentral is "partial 16S ribosomal RNA". It matches the Rfam family "Bacterial small subunit ribosomal RNA", at positions 341 to 792 of the family's 1533-position model. The record is from RNAcentral.
ACGGAAGGCAGCAGUGGGGGAUAUUGCACAAUGGGGGAAACCCUGAUGCAGCGACGCCGCGUGAGUGAAGAAGUAUUUCGGUAUGUAAAGCUCUAUCAGCAGGGAAGAAAAUGACGGUACCUGACUAAGAAGCUCCGGCUAAAUACGUGCCAGCAGCCGCGGUAAUACGUAUGGAGCAAGCGUUAUCCGGAUUUACUGGGUGUAAGGGGAGCGUAGACGGCGAGGCAAGUCUGAUGUGAAAGCCAUGGGCUCAACCCAUGAACUGCAUUGGAAACUGUCUUGCUUGAGUGUCGGAGAGGUAAGCGGAAUUCCUAGUGUAGCGGUGAAAUGCGUAGAUAUUAGGAGGAACACCAGUGGCGAAGGCGGCUUACUGGACGAUAACUGACGUUGAGGCUCGAAAGCGUGGGGAGCAAACAGGAUUAGAUACCCUGGUA